RNAcentral lists this long non-coding RNA (377 nucleotides) under Rattus norvegicus (Norway rat). RNAcentral describes it as "long non-coding RNA NONRATT012158". The record is from RNAcentral. Lineage: Eukaryota; Metazoa; Chordata; Mammalia; Rodentia; Muridae.
CGGCCGCUGCCUUCCAGGCUCUCGGGCGGCGCCCGGGGACUGGCUGGGCCGAGAGUCGGGGUCCCCGAGCCGCGGGGCCGAGCUUAGAACGCGCGCGGCCGGCCUGCUGCCACCGUUCUGCACGGCGCGACACCGGUCUGCGUCCGGACACUCGGGGCCCACGCCGCCACUGGGGCCGCUGCCGCCGCUGCCGCUGCUGCUGCUGCCACCAACGACGACCUGGGUUUGUCGCGGUCCCCGCCGCACAAUUAUAGAGAGCAGUUUUGACAUCACGGAACACUGAAAUUUAUAAAUGAGGUGAUUUGGUUGCCUGACAUCUACUGGAGACUAACCAUGUGUCCCAGAAAGACGAUGAACUUGAGGGAGGAGGAGUUGAG